AUGCAGGAAGACAUGGCGUAUGCAAGUGAUGAGAGUAUGUUCGAGUAUGUAAAUGUUGUCAGCAAGAUGUUUGAUAGUGAGGCUGAAGGCUAUGAAUUCUACAACAAAUAUGCUCUUGAAAAAGGUUUUAGUGUGAGGAAAAGCUACGUUGAGUGGGAUGGAUCCAACAAAUACAUAAUUUUAAGGAAAAUUGUGUGUAGUCGUCAAGGGUUUCGCGAAGAUAAGCACAUGAAAAGAAAGAUGGAAGAUAGAAAGAGGAGGCCACGAAGUUUAACUCGUGUUGGGUGUAAUGCUAAAUUGGUCAUUACGAGACAGGAGGAAACCGGUCGGUGGUUUGUCAAGGAUUUCAUCGAUGAGCACAGCCAUCCUCUAGCCCCACGGGAUCUUUCUUGUCUGCUGCGUUCGCACAGACGAAUUAGCGAUGAGCAGAAAGCGUACAUUGCGGACAUGGAAAAAUGUGGGAUCCGUAAAUACCGUAUUAUGGAUAUUUUGUGCUUUCAAUACGGUGGAUUUGAUAAGGUUGGAUGCAUAAAGAGGGACAUUUACAAUUUCUGCUAUGCUAAUAAGCAGGAGACAAUCAGUGCCGGUGAUGCUAAAACGGUGAUCAUGCACAUGAUGGCGAGGCGAGAGCGAGAUGUGGAUUUUUUUCUUCAAGUACUUGGUAGACGAGCAUGGCCAUCUGAAGGGACUGUUCUGGGCUGA
RNAcentral lists this ribosomal RNA (702 nucleotides) under Triticum aestivum (bread wheat). RNAcentral describes it as "partial small subunit ribosomal RNA". The record is from RNAcentral. Lineage: Eukaryota; Viridiplantae; Streptophyta; Magnoliopsida; Poales; Poaceae.